RNAcentral lists this unclassified non-coding RNA (383 nucleotides) under Hevea brasiliensis (rubber tree). Lineage: Eukaryota; Viridiplantae; Streptophyta; Magnoliopsida; Malpighiales; Euphorbiaceae. The record is from RNAcentral.
GCUUCUAGAAUUGAAAACCAGGAUGCAAUUGAUGCUUCAAUUGUUGGGAUGUUGAGCGAUCCUAAGGAGGCAAGGGCAGGACUUACCGAGGUGCAUUUCUUGCCUUUUAACCCUGUGGACAAGCGCACGGCAAUCACUUACAUUGACAACAAUGGUGAUUGGCGUAGAUGCAGUAAGGGGGCUCCUGAGCAGAUUAUUGAUCUAUGUGAACCCAUGGGGGAGGUGAAGGAAAAGGCCCACAAAAUCAUAGACAACUUUGCUGACCGUGGCCUUCGAUCUCUUGCUGUUGCUCGUCAGAUUGUUCCAGAGAAGACCAAGGAAAGCACAGGAGGACCAUGGGAGUUUGUGGGUCUUUUGCCUCUCUUUGAUCCUCCAAGGCAUGA